UUUUUUAUAGUGUAAUACCAACACAUUACAUUUUCGUUGUAAAGCUGAAGAUAUAAAUUUCUUCUAAAAAUA
Molecule: transfer RNA, 72 nt
Filed under: Puerulus angulatus
Lineage: Eukaryota; Metazoa; Arthropoda; Malacostraca; Decapoda; Palinuridae
Description: tRNA-Glu
Source: RNAcentral